Molecule: ribosomal RNA, 450 nt
Filed under: uncultured bacterium
Lineage: Bacteria
Description: partial 16S ribosomal RNA
Rfam family: Bacterial small subunit ribosomal RNA
Source: RNAcentral
GUGGGGAAUAUUGGACAAUGGGCGAAAGCCUGAUCCAGCCAUGCCGCGUGUGUGAAGAAGGUCUUCGGAUUGUAAAGCACUUUAAGUUGGGAGGAAGGGCAGUAAGUUAAUACCUUGCUGUUUUGACGUUACCGACAGAAUAAGCACCGGCUAACUUCGUGCCAGCAGCCGCGGUAAUACGAAGGGUGCAAGCGUUAAUCGGAAUUACUGGGCGUAAAGCGCGCGUAGGUGGUUUUGUAAGUUGGAGGUGAAAUCCCCGGGCUCAACCUGGGAACUGCCUGCAAAACUGCAUGACUGGAGUACGGUAGAGGGUAGUGGAAUUUCCUGUGUAGCGGUGAAAUGCGUAGAUAUAGGAAGGAACACCAGUGGCGAAGGCGACUACCUGGACUGAUACUGACACUGAGGUGCGAAAGCGUGGGGAGCAAACAGGAUUAGAUACCCUUGUAGUCC